UACGGAGGUGGCAAGCGUUGUCCGGAAUUAUUGGGCGUAAAGCGCUCGCAGGUGGUUCUUUAAGUCUGAUGUGAAAUCUUGCGGCUUAACCGCAAGCGGUCAUUGGAAACUGGGGGACUUGAGUACAGAAGAGGAGAGCGGAAUUCCACGUGUAGCGGUGAAAUGCGUAGAUACGUGGAGGAACACCAGUGGCGAAGGCGACCCUCUGGUCUGUAACUGAAGCUGAGGCGCGAAAGCGUGGGGAGCAAACAGG
This 253-nucleotide unclassified non-coding RNA is filed under the name uncultured Caryophanales bacterium. RNAcentral's name for it is "uncultured Bacillales bacterium contains 16S-23S intergenic spacer region". It matches the Rfam family "Bacterial small subunit ribosomal RNA", at positions 524 to 776 of the family's 1533-position model. Lineage: Bacteria; Bacillati; Bacillota; Bacilli; Caryophanales. The record is from RNAcentral.